Molecule: ribosomal RNA, 483 nt
Filed under: uncultured bacterium
Lineage: Bacteria
Description: partial 16S ribosomal RNA
Rfam family: Bacterial small subunit ribosomal RNA
Source: RNAcentral
GACGAACGCUGGCGGCGUGCUUAACACAUGCAAGUCGAACGCUGAAGCUCAGCUUUUGUUGGGUGGAUGAGUGGCGAACGGGUGAGUAACACGUGAGUAACCUGCCUCCUUCUUUGGGAUAACGCCCGGAAACGGGUGCUAAUACUGGAUAUUCACUGGUCUUCGCAUGGGGGUUGGUGGAAAGGGUUUUUCUGGUGGGGGAUGGGCUCGCGGCCUAUCAGCUUGUUGGUGGGGUGAUGGCCUACCAAGGCUUUGACGGGUAGCCGGCCUGAGAGGGUGACCGGUCACAUUGGGACUGAGAUACGGCCCAGACUACUACGGGAGGCAGCAGUGGGGAAUAUUGCACAAUGGGCGCAAGCCUGAUGCAGCGACGCCGCGUGAGGGAUGGAGGCCUUCGGGUUGUGAACCUCUUUCGCCCAUGGUCAAGCCGCAACAAUGGUUGUGGUGAGGGUAGUGGGUAAAGAAGCGCCGGCUAACUACGUG